Molecule: non-coding RNA, 294 nt
Organism: Styela clava
Lineage: Eukaryota; Metazoa; Chordata; Ascidiacea; Stolidobranchia; Styelidae
Source: RefSeq, a predicted model, not a curated record
AAAGUUUUUACUUGAAUGUGAAAUAAAAUCAAUAUAUAUUCUAAUAAAGAAUUAUAAGAAAUAAUAUUGUUAACUAACAAAUAUUUCCAAAAAAAGUCAAUCUUCGUCUUUAAAGAAAAACAAAAUGGAAAUAAGAACUGUAAAAGCUGUCACAUCUAUAGCAAUCAUCAUCUGUGCAAUAGAUUUAGGAACAGCUAAACCAUUACCCAACGUUAGAACGAAUGGAGACUUGCAAUCGAGACGAAUAAAAGAAUUUCCAGAUAUCGCAGAUCACCGAAUUGAGGUAUUUUGGAA